Molecule: transfer RNA, 77 nt
Filed under: Tenacibaculum discolor
Lineage: Bacteria; Pseudomonadati; Bacteroidota; Flavobacteriia; Flavobacteriales; Flavobacteriaceae
Description: tRNA-Asn
Rfam family: tRNA
About the family: Transfer RNA (tRNA) molecules are approximately 80 nucleotides in length. Their secondary structure includes four short double-helical elements and three loops (D, anti-codon, and T loops). Further hydrogen bonds mediate the characteristic L-shaped molecular structure. tRNAs have two regions of fundamental functional importance: the anti-codon, which is responsible for specific mRNA codon recognition, and the 3' end, to which the tRNAs corresponding amino acid is attached (by aminoacyl-tRNA synthetases). tRNAs cope with the degeneracy of the genetic code in two manners: having more than one tRNA (with a specific anti-codon) for a particular amino acid; and 'wobble' base-pairing, i.e. permitting non-standard base-pairing at the 3rd anti-codon position.
Source: RNAcentral
AGUUUUGUAGCUCAGUUGGUAGAGCACUACGCUGUUAACGUAGAUUAUUUAAGAAAGCUCAUCACCUUGUAAAACUG